RNAcentral lists this ribosomal RNA (465 nucleotides) under uncultured bacterium. Its description in RNAcentral is "partial 16S ribosomal RNA". It matches the Rfam family "Bacterial small subunit ribosomal RNA", at positions 28 to 507 of the family's 1533-position model. The record is from RNAcentral.
GAUGAACGCUGGCGGCGUGCUUAGCACAUGCAAGUCGAACGGAAAGGCUCCUGCUUGCAGGGGUACUCGAGUGGCGAACGGGUGAGUAACACGUGGGUGAUCUGCCCUGCACUUCGGGAUAAGCCUGGGAAACUGGGUCUAAUACCGGAUAGGACCACAUUUUGGAUGGUGUGGUGGAAAGUUUUUCGGUGUGGGAUGAGCUCGCGGCCUAUCAGCUUGUUGGUGGGGUAAUGGCCUACCAAGGCGUCGACGGGUAGCCGGCCUGAGAGGGUGUACGGCCACAUUGGGACUGAGAUACGGCCCAGACUCCUACGGGAGGCAGCAGUGGGGAAUAUUGCACAAUGGGCGCAAGCCUGAUGCAGCGACGCCGCGUGGGGGAUGACGGCCUUCGGGUUGUAAACUCCUUUCGCUAGGGACGAAGCGCAAGUGACGGUACCUGGAGAAGAAGCACCGGCUAACUACGUG